UACGUAGGGUCCGAGCGUUGUCCGGAAUUAUUGGGCGUAAAGGGCUCGUAGGCGGUUUGUCGCGUCGGGAGUGAAAACGCCGGGCUUAACCCGGUGCUUGCUUUCGAUACGGGCAGACUGGAGGUAUGCAGGGGAGAACGGAAUUCCUGGUGUAGCGGUGAAAUGCGCAGAUAUCAGGAGGAACACCGGUGGCGAAGGCGGUUCUCUGGACAUGACCUGACGCUGAGGAGCGAAAGUGUGGGGAGCGAACAGG
Molecule: ribosomal RNA, 253 nt
Filed under: uncultured bacterium
Lineage: Bacteria
Description: partial 16S ribosomal RNA
Rfam family: Bacterial small subunit ribosomal RNA
Source: RNAcentral